CCGCCAUUUUUGCUGCCUUCCUGGACGCCUCCAUGUUGCUUCCGGCGCGCCGUGACGCCACUUCCUCCCUCCCCAAUCCCCUCAGUGAUGGCGACGCGGGUCCGGGUCCCGCCCGGCGCCGCCCCGGAGCCGCUCCCGGUGCAGCUCCUGCCCUGCUGCGUCCAGCACGACGGGCCCGCGCCCGUGGCCGCCUUCCUGCGGGCCCGGCCCGGCUCCGGCGGCGAGCUCUGGGCCUCGUUCCGGGGGCGCCGCUUGGGGGGCCGGGAGCUGCCGCUGCCCCCCGGCUACUCGGGGGUCGUGCUGCGGGGGGGGGAGCCCGGAGACCCCCAGGCCGGGUGGGUGACGCUGACUGGGACCUUUGGGGCCAUCACGGACUGGGGGGGCGACGCUGCCCCCUCCCCCGGCCGGGGCCUGGCCCGGGCCCUGCAGUGGGCACCCCUCGCCCGGGCCGUGAGUCGGGGCUGGGGGCACAUUUGGGGGGGCUGGGGGCACAUUUGGGGGGUCUGGGGUCACAUUUUGGGGCUCUGGGGUCACAUUUGGGGGGGGUCUGGGGUCAUAUUUUGGGGCUCUGGGGUCACAUUUGGGGGGUC
This 590-nucleotide long non-coding RNA is filed under the name Taeniopygia guttata (zebra finch). RNAcentral describes it as "lncRNA (ENSTGUG00000026957.1)". The record is from RNAcentral. Lineage: Eukaryota; Metazoa; Chordata; Aves; Passeriformes; Estrildidae.